This 207-nucleotide ribosomal RNA is filed under the name Pteridium sp. RNAcentral describes it as "partial 26S rRNA". It matches the Rfam family "Eukaryotic large subunit ribosomal RNA", at positions 1624 to 1838 of the family's 3401-position model. Lineage: Eukaryota; Viridiplantae; Streptophyta; Polypodiopsida; Polypodiales; Dennstaedtiaceae. The record is from RNAcentral.
CCGGGACGUGGCGGUGGACGGUAACGUGAACGAAUCGGAGACGCGNGGGGCCCCGGGAAGAGUUCUNNNUUNUUUUUAACAGCCCGCCCACCCUGAAAUCGGAUCACCCGGAGAUAGGGUCCAGCGGCUGGUAAAGACGCACGUCUCGCGGNNUCCGGUGCCCNNCCCGGCCCGUGAAAAUCUGGAGGAGCGAAUGCCGAUCACGCC